Molecule: small RNA, 625 nt
Filed under: Pan troglodytes (chimpanzee)
Lineage: Eukaryota; Metazoa; Chordata; Mammalia; Primates; Hominidae
Description: processed transcript
Source: RNAcentral
UACGAUUUGCUGUAAGAGUGAACAUAGCCACAGAACAAGACGUGCACCAUGUGCUUUCUAGACAGUGAAGAAAAUUUACUCAUCUCCAUUGCCUGCUGGCCUUGGCAUUCCUGGACCUUGCUGCAAGAAACUGCCUGGUAGGUGAAAAUAAUGUUCUGAAAAUCAGUGACUUUGGAAUGUCUCGUCAAGAGGAUGGUGGAGUGUAUUCAUCUUCUGGCUUAAAGCAGAUUCCCAUUAAAUGGACAGCACCGGAGGCUCUUAAUUAUGGGAGAUACAGUUCAGAGAGUGACGUGUGGAGCUUUGGCAUCCUUCUCUGGGAGACCUUCAGCUUAGGGGUUUGUCCAUACCCUGGAAUGACAAAUCAACAAGCAAGAGAGCAAGUAGAAAGAGGAUACCGGAUGUCAGCUCCCCAGCACUGUCCAGAGGAUAUUUCCAAAAUCAUGAUGAAGUGUUGGGAUUAUAAACCUGAAAAUCGCCCUAAGUUCAGUGAACUUCAGAAAGAGCUCACUAUCAUCAAGAGAAAACUCACAUAGUGACAGGAUGGCGCCAAACUCAGCCUUCAGGACUCUGUCCUCCAGCAGAGUAACAUUAUUGUUCUCAUUAACAAUGAAUUUAUACCACAUUA